This 28-nucleotide non-coding RNA is filed under the name Bombyx mori (domestic silkworm). RNAcentral also lists the same sequence under 1 other name. Lineage: Eukaryota; Metazoa; Arthropoda; Insecta; Lepidoptera; Bombycidae. The record is from RNAcentral.
UAAGAUACAUUUAGCUUUGGCCACAAUA